Molecule: non-coding RNA, 155 nt
Organism: Roseomonas mucosa
Lineage: Bacteria; Pseudomonadati; Pseudomonadota; Alphaproteobacteria; Acetobacterales; Roseomonadaceae
Rfam family: 6S / SsrS RNA
About the family: E. coli 6S RNA was the first non coding RNA to be sequenced, but its function was unknown until recently. It consists of 184 nucleotides that fold into an extended hairpin structure with a large single-stranded internal bulge.
Source: Rfam
GCGGGGCUGCCUUUCGCGCCAGGUAUCUCAUCCCCGGGGCCAAUGUGCAUCCUCCGGGAACUGGCUCUGUCCGGACCGUGGUCCGGGUAUCUGGUGCCCACCUGCUUCAGCAGGCCUUGGGAGGAUGAAUCGCCAGCGGUCAUGGUGGCUCCGCA